UCAAUAUAACUGAAUUUUGGUAGACUGCAGAUGUUAGAACUGAACUUUUCCCAUCUUCACUUGCUGGAAAAGAAUUUACAGUUCGUGAAAGCAAAGCUAGAUAGCUAGUAUGCAAAAGCUUGAGACAAGUCUGCACAAACUGCACACAUCUGAUAUUCGUUUUCAGGGAAAUAAUAAGACUGGCAAGCUUCCUAACAAGUUAGUUCGUAAUCAAGUUAUGCAUCCCAAUGUUAGUACUCCUAUUCAUAACACAGAGCACACAAGUCUUAUGCUAAAAAAUAUGAUAUUUAUCUGAUUUUGCUGCAGAAGAUAAAAGUAUCGGAUGUCAAGUGUUAGCGGUGAUUCCAACUGACUUGCAUAUAAGUGGGUAAGCUGAAACAUCAAACAGAAAGAAUUGCAAUUUCUUCAUCUAGUUCAGCUAUAGCGGGGCUUCAGAAAAAAGAACAGGGCUAUUCACAUCAUGGGGCAGCAUCUUGUAGCCGUUUGUUGGCUAAAGUCAGGUUAGUGAGAGACCACUUCUGUGAUGAAAGCAUACCGUGGGUAAAACGCAUGUCGAUAUGAGUAAUCAAGGGCAUUCAUUGCAGCCAGAAGCACCCAGAUUCAGGUCUUUUUUCUCUCAAAGGUCACAGAGGUACUAACUGGCAUCAUCUUUGAUGGACGAAGUGUAAGGUGUGAGUUGAUGGAGGUGAUGGCCAUCUUUUAUUGUUGGUGGUAACUGUGGAAGGCAAUCAUGAUUUACAUUAAGAUUGCACUGCGCAAAAACGUGAAAGUCGAAUGUGCAAAAUUUACCAGACACUGCAUCAGUAGUGCAGGUCAAUAGAUCUAAUACAAGAAUGAGUAUAUGAUCGUGGAGGUGAUGUUUCAACGUGUGCCUUUCAAAAGUGCAUGGAAUUUUGAUGUCAAAGUUGCAUUCUGCGCAGCAAAAGACAGCGUCAAUGCUCUUCACAAUGCGUCAGUGAGCGUUCCUUCCUGAUACGGGAAGAAGUGGAUGUGCAGGGUGAACAGGGUGUCGCAUAACUGAGGGCAUUUCAGCACAUGAUUUAUGGAGCAGGAAAGAGCAGCACUGCUCCAGCGGCAGCGGAUGAUUGUGAAUUGGAAAAAGAAGAGGCAAUCCAGACAAACAUAGACCUCACCUAGUAUGCUUUACACUCUGAUUCUGGUUUCAAGCUUCACGUGGAGGGCACCAAGUAGAUGCUGAUGGGCGAAAUGGCAAAAAAACUGGGCCUUUCUUGCCCUCCAGGACUUGUGAACGUAGACUUAUAGCCGCACAAUCCAUGUCAAGGCUGAAAUUGCAUUCGCUGCAGCGGGAAACUAUAUGGCAGGCAUAACGUUGGAGUUCUGCCAAUUGAUCGAAAGGAAGAGAGCUGGUGAUCCCGGCGUUGCAUCUCUAGGGGGAGAUUCAAUAAUUAUAAAGCUGAGUUGAAAACAAAAUAAAGAGGUGCUCUUCUUAGUAAUUACAAGUAAGCCUGUCUAAAUGAUGGAAUGAACUAUAUUUGGAUGAAAUAAAA
Eucalyptus grandis is the source of this 1508-nucleotide long non-coding RNA. RefSeq lists it as uncharacterized. Lineage: Eukaryota; Viridiplantae; Streptophyta; Magnoliopsida; Myrtales; Myrtaceae. The transcript is spliced from 3 exons. The record is from RefSeq and is a predicted model, not a curated record.